GACGUAGGGGGCCAGCGUUGUUCGGAAUUACUGGGUGUAAAGGGUUCGUAGGCGGUGUGGCAAGUCGGGAGUGAAAUCUCUGGGCUCAACCCAGAGUCUGCUUCCGAAACUGCUGUGCUUGAGUGUGGGAGAGGCGCGUGGAAUUGCAGGUGUAGCGGUGAAAUGCGUAGAUAUCUGGAGGAACACCGGUGGCGAAGGCGGCAUCCUGGACCAACACUGACGCUGAGUGAGCGAAAGCCAGGGGAGCAAACGGG
RNAcentral lists this ribosomal RNA (254 nucleotides) under uncultured bacterium. RNAcentral describes it as "partial 16S ribosomal RNA". It matches the Rfam family "Bacterial small subunit ribosomal RNA", at positions 524 to 776 of the family's 1533-position model. The record is from RNAcentral.